This is a non-coding RNA of Mycena albidolilacea, 92 nucleotides long. Lineage: Eukaryota; Fungi; Basidiomycota; Agaricomycetes; Agaricales; Mycenaceae. The record is from the annotation of a GenBank genome assembly.
GACCCAGUGGCGGAUGGUCCGUACCUGCUCAGUAUGUGCAACCAUCGGGAUACAUUAUGCAGGUGUUGCUCGUUCGAAUCGAGCCUGGGUCA